This 11279-nucleotide long non-coding RNA is filed under the name Eucalyptus grandis. RNAcentral describes it as "long non-coding RNA (EGRA_LNC001740)". Lineage: Eukaryota; Viridiplantae; Streptophyta; Magnoliopsida; Myrtales; Myrtaceae. The record is from RNAcentral.
AGAAACAGAACUUUCACCCUAGAUUGCUAUGAUUCUGAUAAAUUAUAUAGUUGAUACUAUAAAAAUUUCAUUUUAUAGUUUUUGAAUUGAUGCUUCAUGUUUUGUGAGUAAGUGGUUGAAGUAUGCUUAAGAGUUAGUUUUGUUGUCAUGGAUAGAAAACUUUAAUCUCACAGUUUGUGGUAUUACUGGGUUUCAGUGAUAUGGAGAUUGUUGAUAUCCCUGCAAACUACAAACUAUGCACACAUGCUGAUAUAGGUUAUUCUUGCCUUAUGGAUCGCUAAAAUUGGCAAUCUGAAAUAUAAUCAGUUCACUAGACAAUUAGAAAGCAUUUACACAAACUUUUGAAAUCUUAAAAAUAACUUGGAUGAAUGAUUAUAGUAACAUUAAAUUAAAUGUUGCUCUAAACUUGCAAUCAUGCUACAAAAACUAGUGAAAGAAACUUUUUGUGUUACAAAGUGAGUGAUGGUGGCUGAUCCUUGGAGCUCUAUCAUGAUCCAAAAUAUUGAAAUUAUUGAACCUACUAGUCGGAUAUCAUGCUUCUUGACAUGUGAUCUACUCCAUUCCACUUCGGUACCAUUUUCCAUAGCAUAAAAAGUCUAGGUCACUAAGGUAGAUAUACUUUGUUAUAGAUGAAUCUUAAGUAGACGAGGUACCUCUGCAUUGGCGGCAUGAUUAGUAAAACUAUCUUUGACUAAUGAUCUGCACACGGUCUUUAUGUGUAAGGCGAUUCAUGGUGAGAUGAGAGGAGAAAGUAAGUCCUUGUGAUUCUUGAAAUGAUUCUUGCAGCAAAACUAAGUCCUUUUGAUGUUUAGCCCUUGUCUACUUAUUACUUUAUGCUUAAUUAAGAAAGAAGAACAAUUAAAAAUCAUUUAAAUUUUCCGUCUUUGUUCCUCGAGCCAAAUGGAAAGUGAGUGACAUUUACUGCAAUUGGUUUGUAGUAGUCAUCUUAUAGGCACAGUUUCUUCCAUGUCAAGCAGGAUUCCAUUGCUAAAAUUAAUUGCAUGAUGUACUCCAAGUUGCGUUCGUUAUUUAUUAUUUGGCGUUUAAGAUUCUAUUAAAGUGUUUGUUUACUUGACAUCAACUCGUUGACCCAUUUUCACAGUAAAAACUGCAAGCAAUAACCAUUUAGUAGGUGUAAUAUUCAAUUUCUGGGAUUUAAUUAUUAGUAAGUUGUUUGAAUGUCUCAGCACUCGUGUUAGUUUCAAUUUAUGAGUUGGUCACUUUUUAUUUACUUCACUUUUGGGCAGCUGGCUAUCUUGGACGGUGUCACUAUGGCAAGCGGAGCUGGGAUUUCUCUCCCCGGAAUGUUUCGAUUGGCAACUGAUAAAACUGUAUGUGACUUUUCCUAAAUAGUGAUAUAGAUGUUAACUGCUUUCAUACAUGUGCUCGCUGGGGUUGUGCUUAUUCAACUUCCUUUGCCAAUUUAUUUCUUAUCUUAAUGUAUAGUGAGGUUCGAUUCCAUUGGCUGUCAUUAUAUGUGAAUUUGCUCCUGAGCUGGAACAUAGGUUUCUGGCAAAACCAGUAAGCUAAAUUGUCAUGGGAUUGGUAUUAACAUAGAUUUUUAUAUGGGAUAAUGGUAUGGGAGGUCCUUGAACCUUUUCAACUUGCAUUGUCGUCCCUCAACUUCGUUUUUUUUUUUUUUUGGUGCAAUCAAGUCCUUGAACUAUAUGUUUGUUUGUUCAAGUUAGUCCUUCAGUCAAACAGUUAGACGGGAAGCUGAUAUGCCCAUCCACAUCAUCAUUCUUCUUGAGCAAAUCUCUGCGGCGGAAUAAAAAAAAAAAGGGUGGGAGGGUGGCCUGCCGGUGGAGGCGGUGUUGCCCAGCCAUAGCCAGGGUCAUGGUGAAUGGGUACUUGCUGCCAUCGCCUUUGAAUACCACAUGCAACAGAGAGACCGACCUAGUGUGUAAGAGAGCAUUGAGCUUGUGUUUGCACAACACGGAAUCUUCUAUAAAAGAGGAGCCAAAUAACUGGGUCCACAAACAUGAAAUGGCAAGAUUCUUGAAACAGGAAGCCAGAACUAAUGGUAACAAUCAAACUUCAUAUAACCCAUCAACCCAAAUCAAGGGAACUUAACAAAGCAUCAACAAAAAUAGCAUAAAGGAAUACCAAAUUCUUUUCUUUUAGGUGGUUGACUUUGUUUGAGCCCACUACAGAAGAACAAGAAUAUAUGGCUACAAUGACGACGAGCUCUCAAGCUGUGCACUCUGAUCAUAGACCACAAAAAAGGGGGGAAAAGUAUUCUUGAAUCCUCCAAAUCACAAAGCACUUGUGGUUUACUUAAUCCUUGUGAUAUAAUUUUUUAUUUAUUGACAACGGUUUGGCAACAACUGAAUAAUUUGAAUGCAUGAAAUUCUCAUAGUCUGUGUUUCUCGGACCACUUCAAAUCCCAGCAGAACCACUGCAGAUCUGACAUGAGGUGGUGACCCUCGCCUGGAUCUGUUGUGACGGCUGUGGCCCUAGCUGGUGGGUGCUGAGAGGUGGUUGAGGACCAGGACUGCUUUUUCCUUGUAUCUCUCUCUGUGGGUGUAUACCUCUGUGAUGGAACACGCUCAAGCUCCAUGAAGGUGUGGCCACUGUGACCUGAGCCUGGGGGGGUCUGGCCACCCUUGCUGGUGGCUGUUGGUGUGUGACUGUCCUCUCUUUGCCAGAGCAAGCUGAAGAUGGUUUUCCUCAUUUUUCUUUUUUUCAAUUUUCUUUCUAAAACCAUCACUUCAUUUUUGAAUUUUUUUUUAACUGUGUAAUAGCACUUGGACCCUACGUGGCUGCGUAGAUGCCAAGGUGGCAUGUUAUAGCCUUGUGACAUCCACUUCGCCAUUUCUGUUUAGUUUUUUAAUGGGAGGACUAACUUGAACUAACAAACAUAUAAUGCACCUGGCUUCAUUUUUCUGCUGCAAUUCCGCAAAGUAAAUUCUUGAGCUAAUGCUUUCAAUUGCAGGUUUUUUCCCAUCCAGAGGUUCAAAUAGGAUUUCAUCCAGAUGCAGGAGCUUCCUUCCACCUUUCCCGUCUACCUGGCUAUCUAGGUAGGUUGUCUAUGCAAGCAAAGGGGAGGUCUUGGCUAAACUGUGUAAUGAAAUAAGGAGAUCAUUCAUUAAAUUAAAAAUAGGUCAGAAGGGUCGGAUAAAAUUAGGCCUCAAAGUGUUCUAUUGGUUUCUGUAAACUGGAAAUUCCUUGAAAAGUUAAUCUUUACUGCAUGUUCGAAUGUUUUGCUGUACCCAUUAGUUCCCUUCUGGCAUGCAAAACUGUUGAAGACCAUCCAAUGCAUUGCACUAAAGGGAAGCCUUUGUUUGCAAAGUAUACUUUAUUAUUGAACCAUGAAGAGAUCAUAUAGUUUUUGCUUUGUCCUUAUAUUUGUAAUGAAAGGUUUAUAUAGUUUCCACAGUAUUUUCUUUGCAUGGUUUAGUACUAUUCCUCUUUGAAUACCAAGUUGUCAAUAACUAGCGUUAGGAUACUGUCUUAGAAUGUGGCCUUCUUCUUCCAGGGGAAUACCUGGCUCUCACGGGGGAUAAGCUUAAUGGUGUUGAAAUGGUUGCCUGCCGCUUGGCUACUCAUUAUUCACUAAAUGCGGUUUGUUUACAAUGCACCUUUGACUGCUGCUUCAGUGUUUUUACACUUCAUACCUUGAUAAUCUCUUCUUGAGUUAUGACUAAUGACCUUGACAGAGAUUGGCUUUGAUUGAAGAGCGUCUUGGUAGACUCACUACUGAUGAUCCGUCUGUUAUAGAGACAUCCCUUUCACAAUAUGGUGAUCUUGUUUAUCCCGACAGGAGAAGUAUCAUUCAUAAGUAAUGCUCAACUUUAGUCUACAGCUUCUGGGUUCUUUAUGGCAUGAUUUUUUACUUUUAUCCUCCUCUGUGUAAAUGACUGUAUGUUUUUUGGAUCUAUACAGUAUAAAUUUACGUUAUACGCCUUUCUGGGGAAACGGACUAGACAAGUUUGUGAUGUAGCUAAUAAAUGAUGCACAUUGCGAGUAGAUUGCGUUCUACCACACAUAACUAUAGCUUUCUUGCUUUUUCGUGCAGUUGGCUAUUAGGCAAAUAUAGGCUUUAUAUGCUUAGAAUUUUUGUACUAGCUAUUUUCACACUUUAUGUGGCUGAUUCUGUUUUAUCCAAACCCAGGUAGAACUUUGAAUCAGUCCCUCUAAACGCUUAAGAUCUACAUAAUAAGUUAUUAGUAAUGAGUCGUAACUUAUGACAUGUUGUUAUGAGUCAUAACUUAUGACAUGUUGUUAGUUGUUGUGCAUAUUAGAACUGUGCAAGGGACAAGUAAAUAUUCCACGUAGCAGAGUGAUUGCUGCUUUUAUGGAGAAAGUUUCUUCCUUCUCUGCAAGUUUAUUUUUUAUCACCUUUAUUAGAGAAUGAACUUGCACUUUUUGUUAUGCUUACUACCAGGAAGCCUUUUGUUUUCUAAUCUCUUCAGUAUUAUUUGUUGCAGCUAUUGAAGUGUGUAUCAAAUAAUUUUUUAAAUGGAGUAUUUUUGUCUUGUUCACUGACUUAGGAUUGAAGUGAUCGAUAAAUGCUUUGGCCACGACACAGUUGAGGAAAUUAUUCAUGCAUUGGUAAGUUGGACGAGACACCCUGAAAAGGACUCUUAUAUUUGUUGUUGGAAAGUCCACAAUGCUUGACAUCGUACUGGUUUUUGAGAUGGUAUGACUGAUGUUUUAUUUUGCCAGAUGACAUGAUGGUAGAAUUGGGACUAAUCAACUGAGAAAUGCAAUGAGUCAGCGUAGUUAAUAUCCUAGAUGUUCUAUUAUUGCCAUCUUAUUAAAUUGGUGUUGCUUAGGAAAUUGAAGCAGCUGACUCUUAUGAUGAAUGGUGUGCAAUGACCCUCAAGAAACUAAGGGAAGCUUCUCCAUUGAGCUUAAAAAUCACCUUAAGAUCUGUGAGUUUCCAUUCUUUUGAUUCUCUUUGUUGGACAUAGAUUCCUUCUCUAAAACAUUGACUUGGUUAUAAUUACUACUUUCAGAUUCGUGAAGGUAGAUUCCAGACCCUUGAUCAAUGUUUAACUCGGGAAUACCGAAUAUCCCUCCAUGGAAUCUCUGGAGAAGUUUCCAAAGACUUUUGUGAGGUAUGCAAGUCUUGGACAUCCACUGCAAUUGUUUGGUUGAAUCUUGUGGUUUUUCUUCUCUCUCCUUAUCAUCAGAUCAUGGUACUCUUUGCCAUCUGUGGGGUUGCAAAGAUAGUUUAUGUUCUCAUCAAUAGUGCUCUUUGCUGUCUGUAGGGUGUUCGAGCACGAUUAGUGGAUAAGGACUUCGCUCCAAAGGUAAAAUUGAGUCCCAAUUUUUCCGACCUCAUACAUUUUCUCAACUUCAAUGACUGAAAUCAUCGUGGGCUUAUCAAAUAAUGUGCAGUGGGAUCCUCCAAGUUUGGAAGAAGUAACCAAGGAGAUGGUCGACUUUUAUGUCUCUCCACUUAUAUCUGAGCCUGAGCUAGAACUACCCACUGCCUCACGAGAACCCUCUGUAUGAUAGACGUAUGAAUGCAGAUGAAUUUUUUCAGCAACUUGAGUUUUGUUGGUUAGGUAUUAAACUGUAUGAUUUAAUUUUAUCUUGCAUACCCUCGACAGCUCAAGAUCUGUCAAUCGUGUUUUCCUUGUAUGUUAAAAUCCUUCUCCCAAAUUCCACACAGACAAAGCACCAGCACAAUGAUAUAAGCAGCUCCAUCUUAAUCAGCAGUUCUCUCUCUCUCUCUCUCUCUCUCUCUCUCUCUCUCUCUCUGCGCUUUGUCGGUUAUUUGUUUAUGCACUGCUACAUGUAUCAAUAUUUGAAAUUACAAACCACGCAACCAUUUCGCUGCUUUAAUUAAAGUUGGUGCAGAGAAAAUUUUAUAUAGUUUUCGAUGCAUAAAUCAAAAGGAUGAGGCAACUAUCAGAAUUAUAAAAGGGAAAGUCACGGGAAAAGGAUCCAAAAGUUCGAAAAACUGCAAAUCAUCCAAGCGUAGUGAAAUGCUAAAAUUACUAUCUCAAUAUGACCUUCAGAAAUUCAAAGAUCUACAUUGUUAGUUGAGGGACUCUCUCAAAUUAGUCUUGCAAAUAAGUCUUAAUUUCCUUGUGGAAAAGGUUUCAAACCCGUAAAGAAAUCUGAAAAAGAAACAAAUUCAUUUUCUUUUUUUUUUGUCAACGGUCAAUGGUCAACGGGUCAAUGGUUGCGCGGGUAAACGGUCGCGUAGGUGGGGCCGAUCGGGCCGGUUAGACCGAUCGGACCGGGUCGGACAAACUGACCCGGCACAUGCCUCGCACUCGGGAGCGAUCGGUCGGAUCUUGGGUCGGGUCGCGUCUCAAGUCGGGUCGAUUCGCCGAUCGGGUUGGGUUGCCGGUCGGUCGCCAGCGAUGACGUCAAAGAUGACGUCAUCCCAACGGUUACCGACCGUUGGGUGAUGUCAUCACGCGUCGGUUCGCCGACUGGUGCGUGCCGAUUCGCCGGCCGGCGGCGUCGCACACAUGCCGGUUCGCCGACUGGCGCGUGUGGCGCCCACGCGUAGCGGCUUCUGGCCGUGCGUGUGGGCGCGUCCGGCGUCUCCCGGCGGCGUUCGACCCAUCGACAGACUUGUCUCGACGAGCUCUUUUACUCUAUGCCAUCAGAAAUUGAUUUCGACUUACAGAAACUCGAAAAAAUGGAUGAACAGUGCUCGGGUGUCGGGAUUUUGCGCCCCGAUCCGUGUCGGCCGAUUAUUUUUACAAAAAAUCAAUCAAAAAUCAUUCAUAAAACAUGAAAAGGGGUCGAGAAAACAUGAACUAGGGCUCUGAUACCAAUGUUGGGAUUGUCGGAUUCCCAAAAACCGGAUUCGACACUAAAUCGAACCUCUAAAACGAAUGCGGAAGACGAGUCCGGGAAAUUCACAUGUAUCACCGAUCCUAAAGCACACCACGGAAUCGAGCGUACCUUAUUAGCCACAGAUUAAAUACCGAUGCCGAUAAGAGGAAGAGAAACCGAUCCCUUUCGAUCCAAUGACGUCAAUUGGCCUUAAAGGGAAGACGGCGUUGCCUUUUGCGCACUGUUUUUCUUUUGGAGGGAGAGAGGGAGAGGAAUGUACGUUAAUGCCAAUGGGUGUGUUCCUCCCUCUCUCUUUCUCCUUUUAUAUGUCCCUCCAACAGAAAGGAAUGUACCCCUUUAUCCAUGGGCCAUAAUCUUGUGGGCCGGGCUUUUAGGCCUAUCAUGGGCGGACGGGCCAACUUAGGCCCUUCACAUAAAAUCAUCAUGAGGUAACAAAUAAUUUUCAGGUUCUCUUUUCCAAGCAUGCCAAAGUCAAGAUAUUGGUAGCACAUUGGGCACAUUUCGUAAACAACACUGACGUUUACCUGAAAUCACUCCUCUAUUACAAUGUCCUUUGCUCCUCUUCGAAGUACAACAAUUGUUCUGGCAAAGUCGAGAUCAAGUACUACAUAGUGCUGGGUUUCAACGCGACUGAAGCUGCGAUCAGCAAUGGGACCAGCACUGGGAAUAAGUAUCCUGGUUACACGCGGGUUAACCAUGGGAAGCAUGCUGUUAGCGAUGUGAGAGCCCACAUUGGAACGAGCAACCUCAUAUGGGACUAUUUCUAUACUACUGCCGGUGUCGGCUUCGGGACGUAUGAGCAGGACAUAUUAUUGCAGCUUCAGGAAGUCUUCGAUGCCGAUUGGGAUUCACCAUAUGCUGUUCCUGUGGGAGAGUCCAAGGAACGGCACUCAUUUUCGAGCCGACUAGUACUUGCACACGAGGUACGGACUGGACCAGCUACAGUUAACCGAAAGCCGCACAACGACAAUCAAAUGAAGUCUUCUAACACAAAGGGCACGGCCAAAAGAGUUGCGCCGCUUCUUGAGAUGAGGACAUUGUUUGGACUUAAUUUGACCAGAGUGAUUCGUUUGUAAAUAAGCAAUGCAAUAAAGCAUUUCUUUACACUUUGCAAUCUGAAACUGAAACUAUUGGUAUCUCCUGACGAUUACAAUAUUUAAAAAAAGAAAAAGAAAAAAGGAACCAGCUUCAUUGCUUCUGUAUUCAUUAUCUUAAGGCACAUCAUUUCUUAAAGCUACACCAAAAUCAUCAAACACAACAUGAAAGCGUGUAGAGCUUAUUAAGAACAUAAAGUUGACACUACCUGAACAUGAAAUGCUGGAAGACAAGCACGAAUUUGCAGAAAAAUUGAAGGGGAAAAAAACUAAAGGACUCAUAAUUUGGUCAUGGGACUAAACAAAAAUUCAGGAGAUAAUGAUAUAAAUGAUUUUUCAACUUUGACUCAAUGUGAAGUUUAGUCUAACAUACAAUAUCAUUAUUUAAAUAUUUAAUUUGUUCAAUAUGAUUUCUGAAAUUUUGACAUAUGUUCAAUCUAGUCCAUGAAUCAUAUGACAAUGUUCAAUACCGUUUCUGAACUUGAACUGAUGGAAUGAUGACAUUGAAUAUUUUCAUAUAGUUCGGAGACCAAAUUAAACACAUACCAAUAGGUGAGAGAUCAUAUUAAAUAAAUUAAAAGCAUAGGGAUGUCGUUAUACGUAAGAAUAAAGUUGAUGGAGUAUCCAUGUCGUUUUCCCAAAAUUCGGGGAGGAGUUAUUUUACGAGCAUGAUUUGGUAGGCUUUAUGCUUAUAAGCCCAGAUGACAAAAAGCCCGAUCAUAGACAAUAACCUCAUUGAACGGCCGCUUGACCUUUGCUCUGUUCUUUUGUCUUGCCUCCUCAGUGUGCAGUGUCUAGCGUUCAGCGUUCGCUUCUCUCUUCAAGGGGGGCUGGAGUGACGGGCUCAUGGAUUCCGUGGAAAAGCGCAAAAUAAUUGAUUGGUCUCAAGUUCAUUGUUGGUCCAAUUCUCAGUCCCAAGCUCAACAAGAUUAGUCUUUGGUCCUAAAAAUUGAGGGUCAAUGCUGUGCAGGUCAAUCUUUGGAUUAAGUGCGGGAUCGGCUCAAUUGGGAUCAUGUUCAUUUUUACUGGCUGCUGGCCAGUUUUUGGGUCGCGGUGGGGUCAUGCGACCUCGCCGCCCUUGGAUCUAGGUCGCGAUGGGGUCGCGCGACCCAAAUCUGGAUCGGACUAGAUCAUCGUUGGAUAGGCCUUGUCGCCCGGAUCUUAGACUGGAUCAGACCGGUCCAGAUAAGCCCAGAUGGGCAAAAGCCCAAUCUGAGCUCUCUCGUACCAUUACGGCUCGGACGAUAAGCUUACAGAACGACCGUUUGAUCUUUGCACUGCUCUGUUCUUCUCCUUUUGCCUCCUCAGCGCGCAUCGUUCAGCGUUCCGCCGUUCGCUUCUCAUUUUGAGGGGAAGGCCGGAGCGACGGGUUCAGGCAUUGCUCCGGAGAAAACGCCCUUCGAAAACCCUUUUAUAGAGCGUUCAAACAACAGCAAGAGAAGGAAGGAGAAAGAGAGAGAUGCAUAGCUUGAAGGUUUUAGUGAGAGCCAGUGAGAACCAGGCGUUCGCUUCCCAAGCUCGGCGCUUUCCCUCACCGGAGAAGUUUCUCUGCUCAGCCCCAUUACGCCGGCUACGACGACGUCCAAGACCAGGUCUCUCUCUCUCUCUCUCUCUCUCUCUCUCUCUCUCUCUAUGUGUUUCGGUUUGUUGUUGGAUGCAAGUUGUCCGGGUAGUCAAAAUUUGAUUCGUUCAGAAACUCGAUGGAGUCAAGUCGCGGCGUCUACUUUGCGGAUAGCAAAAGACGGGUUCAUUUACAUUGGGAGCUUAUAUUUCAAUUCGUGUAUGUUUGUGGCGUCAGGUUUUGGUGGAUGGAAGAGCCAACUCAAGAGUGCGAUCCUCAACCGGCCAUCCGCUCUUAAUUCUCUUACUACCUCAAUGGUUUGGUUCUUUCUCUCUCUCCGACUCAAAAUGAAUUCCUCGCCCAACCCCAAUCAGAGCGGAAAGCCGUUUCAUUUUUUGUGUUUCUUGGUGCCCCGUCCGGUUAUUUUUUCUAGAAUAAUUAAAGCUUAAAAUUUUAUGCUGAUAUAUUCUACAGGUGGCCAGGCUGAAGAGGCUCUAUGAAUCAUGGGAAGAGAAUCCAAACAUCGGGUUUGUGUUGAUGAAGGUAUUGCCAUUACAUGCCCUCACACAAGAGCUGAUGGUUUCAAAUAGAUCCUGGUUUUGUUUUGUCUAGAGUCUAUACAGAAGGAGAAACGGAUACACAUUUCAGGCAUUCCUUUUAUUAUUGUCAGGGUUCACAAUCUUUGAAUGUUAUUAACUUUUUUUGUCUGAUCUGAAGGGUCGUGGCAAAGCUUUCUACUCAGGGGGGAAUGUCAUUACCCUUUAUCAUUUGCUCAUUGAAGGUCGGAUGGUGAUGAAUCCUUUCAUUUAUUUGGCUUUCAACAUUUUUUUCUCUGAUAGUUUUUAUGUCCUUUUUCAUUGCUUUAUAUUUAAAUAGUUAUUAGUAGUAGAGGAUUGGUUCAAGGGCAAGAAUAUCAUAAACAUGGCAAUGUUGGGGUGUUAAAUAUCAACAUGCGAAGGUAAUUUUUAUAACUGGAGACGAUACCCAUUGGUGGAUUUGUGACUGUAGAAGAAAGGUCGGAUUAGGAACUAGUGUGUUUGAGUAAAACUAAAUAUUGAAUCAGGUGGGAUAUGAUAGAUAAAUUAAGGUGGAAGAUGUGAAAUAAUGGCCCUCAAGUGCUCUUCAAAGAGCACGCAACUUUGCUAUCAAUUUGCUUUUGUUCCCUUGAUUAUGAUCUUUUGGUUCUUUUACUUUUCUUUCCUAAUUGUUGUUUCUAAUCAAAUAGUCAACAUAUGUGCAGGGAACAUUGAGGAUUGCAAUUUUUUUUUUUUUUGAUACUUUAUAUAAGUUUGUUUACCUGCAAGGGACAUUUUUGAAACCACAUGUAAGUACCUCCUUUUGAAGUUUAUAAACUAUUAGCUCUUUUGAGAUGUAGAAUCAGUCUACCUUGUAAUGGAUAAUUUCAGGGCUUGGAUUUUCCUCUUAAUUUCUCUUGAUUUCUGUAAUGACCUCUUGACACAAUUUAUUAUUGGCCAGACAUCAUAGAGUAAGGUAGUAUUUCUCCUGGCUGGAUGAGAAACAAAACUUUCACUCUAGAUUCCUAUGAUUCUGAUAAAUUAUAUAGUUGAUACUAUAAAAAUCUCAUUUUAUAGUUUUUGAGUUGAUGCUUCAUGUUUUGUGAGUAAGUGGUUGAAGUAUGCUUAAAAGUUAGUUUUCUUGUCAUGGAUAGAAAACUUCAAUCUCACAGUUUGCGGUAUUACUGGGUUUCAGUGAUAUGGAGAUUGUUGAUAUGCAAACUACAAACUAUGCACACAUGCUGAUAUAGGUUACUCUUGCCUUAUGGAUCGCUAAAAUUGGCAAUCUGAAAAAUAAUCAGUUCACUGGACAAUUAAAAAGCAUUUACACAAACUUUUGAA